UCGGACGUGGUGCAUGGUGCAUACCUCUCCCUGGUAUUUGGAGCAUUGGUCGAAAAGGGGAGCCUGGGUUCGAUUCCCAGCGUCCGAA
This is a non-coding RNA of Mycena leptocephala, 88 nucleotides long. The record is from the annotation of a GenBank genome assembly. NCBI's taxonomy places the organism in Eukaryota, Fungi, Basidiomycota, Agaricomycetes, Agaricales, Mycenaceae.